GGAUCUCUGCCCCGGGUGCGUCGCAGCCCCGGACCAAGGCGCCCGCCGGAGGACCAACCAAAACUCUUAUUGUAUACCCCCUCGCGGGUUUUUUUUAUAAUCUGAGCCUUCUCGNCGCCUCUCGUAGGCGUUUCGAAAAUGAAUCAAAACUUUCAACAAGGGAUCUCUUGGUUCUGGCAUCGAUGAAGAACGCAGCGAAAUGCGAUAAGUAAUGUGAAUUGCAGAAUUCAGUGAAUCAUCAAAUCUUUGAACGCACAUUGCGCCCGCCAGUAUUCUGGCGGGCAUGCCUGUCCGAGCGUCAUUUCAACCCUCGAACCCCUCCGGGGGGUCGGCGUUGGGGAUCGGCCCUGCCUUGGCGGUGGCCGUCUCCGAAAUACAGUGGCGGUCUCGCCGCAGCCUCUCCUGCGCAGUAGUUUGCACACUCGCAUCGGGAGCGCGGCGCGUCCACAGCCGUUAAACACCCAACUUCUGAAAUGUUGACCUCGGAUCAGUAGGAAUACCCGCUGAACUUAAGCAUAUCA
Molecule: ribosomal RNA, 521 nt
Filed under: Trichoderma harzianum
Lineage: Eukaryota; Fungi; Ascomycota; Sordariomycetes; Hypocreales; Hypocreaceae
Description: eukaryotic LSU rRNA
Rfam family: 5.8S ribosomal RNA (bases 148-301)
Source: RNAcentral